UACGUAGGUGGCAAGCGUUGUCCGGAUUUACUGGGCGUAAAGAGCGCGCAGGCGGUCGGAUAAGUCGAAUGUGAAAGCCCCCGGCUCAACUGGGGAGGGUCAUUCGAUACUGUUCGACUCGAAGGCAGGAGAGGGUAGUGGAAUUCCCGGUGUAGUGGUGAAAUGCGUAGAUAUGCGGAGGAACACCGAUGGCGAAGGCAAUCCCCUGGGCCUGCACUGACGCUCAUGCACGAAAGCGUGGGGAGCAAACAGG
RNAcentral lists this ribosomal RNA (253 nucleotides) under uncultured bacterium. Its description in RNAcentral is "partial 16S ribosomal RNA". It matches the Rfam family "Bacterial small subunit ribosomal RNA", at positions 524 to 776 of the family's 1533-position model. The record is from RNAcentral.